This 459-nucleotide ribosomal RNA is filed under the name uncultured bacterium. RNAcentral describes it as "bacterial SSU rRNA". It matches the Rfam family "Bacterial small subunit ribosomal RNA", at positions 29 to 506 of the family's 1533-position model. The record is from RNAcentral.
ACGAACGCUGGCGGCGUGCUUAACACAUGCAAGUCGAACGGUAAGGCCUUUCGGGGUACACGAGUGGCGAACGGGUGAGUAACACGUGGGUGAUCUGCCCCCUACUCUGGGAUAAGCCUGGGAAACUGGGUCUAAUACUGGAUAUGACCUUUUACUGCAUGGUUUAAGGUGGAAAGUUUUUCGGUAGGGGAUGAGCCCGCGGCCUAUCAGCUUGUUGGUGGGGUAAUGGCCUACCAAGGCGACGACGGGUAGCCGGCCUGAGAGGGCGACCGGCCACACUGGGACUGGGACACGGCCCAGACUCCUACGGGAGGCAGCAGUGGGGAAUAUUGCACAAUGGGCGCAAGCCUGAUGCAGCGACGCCGCGUGGGGGAUGACGGCCUUCGGGUUGUAAACCCCUUUCAGUCGGGACGAAGAGCAAUUGACGGUACCGAUAGAAGAAGCACCGGCCAACUACGU